Molecule: ribosomal RNA, 492 nt
Filed under: uncultured bacterium
Lineage: Bacteria
Description: partial 16S ribosomal RNA
Rfam family: Bacterial small subunit ribosomal RNA
Source: RNAcentral
AUUGAACGCUGGCGGCAUGCUUUACACAUGCAAGUCGAACGGUAACAGGCCUUCGGGUGCUGACGAGUGGCGAACGGGUGAGUAAUGCAUCGGAACGUGCCCAGAGGUGGGGGAUAACGCAGCGAAAGCUGUGCUAAUACCGCAUGUGAUCUGAGGAUGAAAGCGGGGGACCAGGCAGCAAUGUUUGGCCUCGCGCCUUUGGAGCGGCCGAUGUCAGAUUAGGUAGUUGGUGGGGUAAAGGCCUCCCAAGCCGACGAUCUGUAGCUGGUCUGAGAGGACGACCAGCCACACUGGGACUGAGACACGGCCCAGACUCCUACGGGAGGCAGCAGUGGGGAAUUUUGGACAAUGGGCGCAAGCCUGAUCCAGCAAUGCCGCGUGCGGGAAGAAGGCCUUCGGGUUGUAAACCGCUUUUGUACGGAACGAAAAGGCUCUGGCUAAUACCUGGGGCUGAUGACGGUACCGUAAGAAUAAGCACCGGCUAACUACGUG